GGCAUCGUAGAUGUUCAAAUUCUGGAUAUUUUCUGAGCACGUAAGAGGUUGAUCCCCGGCUUUCAUUGGUCACCUUGGAAACUGCAGCUGACAAAACAAAUUCGCUUCGGUGACCGAACUCUUUUUUGCUCCUUCCCUUUUAUGAGCAGCGGAGGUCUCUGAACACAUGCCCCUUCAUCUUUUGGUCAUGUGCGUUUUAAUACUAUUUUUAGAUGGGGCAGCGGUUGUGCAUUUAUUUUUCUUAGUUUACCUCAUUAAUUAUUACUGUGUGUCUUAAUUAAACUCUCUCUUUCUCUCUCGCUCACACACACACACACACACACACACACACGCACACACGCAAAGCCCGUUAAGAAUAAAAUGUUGACCAGACAUUACUCAGGUGCAUAUAGUGCCAGGUAAUUAGAGAAUCCAUUGAUGUCCCUGCAGCGGCUUCUGAUUGGCUGUGGCAGCACCUGGUUUGCUUGCUGCCGCACAAAUAGCCGUGGCGAAGUCUUGCCUUCCAGCUCUGAACAUUUCUAGGAGACACGCACAGCUAAACGAUGCGUAGAGAAAAGGGGAGACGUGCCACCGUUUGCUGUGCUGUAGCUGUUAUUCUGAUGUGCUAUUUAGUGCAAGCAAUAGACUGUUACCGACUAACGAAAACAGAGAGGCGAGGAUGGCGCGAAGAGGCCGAUGCGUUAGGUGCUCAAAAGGGGAAAGUCGUAUUCGGAAUAUCUGACGGGAAAGGCUCAGGCCUUGAGUCAGAGGGCAAAUAUGGGAAAGCCUCUGCAAACUCAUCUGUGGAGGAAUCUUAUCAAGCGGAUUUUAUAGGCUGGUCAAAAGGCCAAACGUAUGAUGCCACUUCCAGAGAAGCAGCAAUGGGCCAAACGUAUGAUGCCACUUCCAGAGAAGCAGCAUGGAGGCGCAUGGCACCUUUUCUGCUGUGCGGUGGGGAUCGGAUGAAGUUCAGGGUAGUGGGAAGAGGAGUGUCACAGCUAGCAGUGGACCAAGCAAAUGCCCCACCAGUACCUCUGAGCCAGGUCCCUCCCAGCUGUGGCUACAACAUGCAGAGGAACCUACUGUCACUUGUUAUGAUGGUUCCCUAUGAUGGCUGCAGUGUGGUUCAAGAGGGUGGCAGUUAUGUGCUUCCAAUGCGGUGGCAGGGUAUUCCAGUCUCCCUUUGGUGUUCUAAACCUGCAGCACCAGCUCCUAUGACGACUGCAUCUCAAACCCCUCAGGACCCUGCAUCAAACUCCCAGAUGCCCUACGCUAGCAAAAACCCAGACCAAUUGUAUGCCCAUGUUCCUCAACCCUUUUUCUUUCCACAACAAAUGCACUAUCCAUAUCCUUCAGUUGCCGUAUCGGAUCCUGCAGCAACCAUAAAGCAACCAGAAAUGCCCCCAUUCCAGCAAUACCCUCUGCCCUUUCCUCCCCGAUAUCCUUACUUUUAUCCCCCACUUCCAGCCACAACGGCAGCCCGAAUGGCCACUACAACCACCACUGCAAAGCCAGAAAUCUUCAUUCCUCCAGAGCUUCUCUUACCUGGUUACAAACCAGUCGGUCCACCUUUCCUUUGGCCCUUUCAGUUACCUGUGCCAGCAGGUACUCAAACCACAACUAAUGGUGACUCUUAUCCCCAGUCACUGCAGGUUCCACCCAAUAUGCAUUACUUCCCUCAGUUUGUCCCUCUUCCACAAUAUCUGAACAAUCCUAAUGCAGAUUUGGCGGCUCCUACUGGAAGCUCAGACACCGUACUCCAUCAAUAUGUUCCGCCUUUCCCUCAAUUUGUUCCUCAAUAUCCAAGCAAUCCUAAUCCAGACUUGGAAACUGGAAGCACAGACACUCUGCUGCCUCAAGCUCAGUCACACAAUUUUCCACACUUCCAUCAACAAGUUCAGUUAAUGCCCAAUCCCUCCCUUUCGUCAUAGUUUGAAGAAAAUAUAAUAAAUGCUUUAAAUAACACCAGUUCAUGGUUUGAAUUUCUUUGUUCAACAGCUCAACUCAAUUAGCAUCACAGAUUCCGACUCAAGGAUCGUAAAUGUUGUGAGCAUGUAGUGCUGAGGUGAUUUGAAUUGAUAAGCAGACUUGAUAUUUGGAUGUUGGGGGCUCAAAUUUAAAUGAUUAAUGUCCCCGUUGUCUGCAACCACCCA
This is a long non-coding RNA of Oreochromis aureus, 2132 nucleotides long. The record is from Ensembl. NCBI's taxonomy places the organism in Eukaryota, Metazoa, Chordata, Actinopteri, Cichliformes, Cichlidae.